RNAcentral lists this non-coding RNA (46 nucleotides) under Schistosoma bovis. The record is from RNAcentral. Lineage: Eukaryota; Metazoa; Platyhelminthes; Trematoda; Strigeidida; Schistosomatidae. RNAcentral also lists the same sequence under 1 other name.
GUACUGCUGAGGAGUCUCAUAUUAUGACGAAACAGUCGUCCAGUAC